Oryza sativa Japonica Group (Japanese rice) is the source of this 1566-nucleotide non-coding RNA. The record is from RefSeq and is a predicted model, not a curated record. Lineage: Eukaryota; Viridiplantae; Streptophyta; Magnoliopsida; Poales; Poaceae.
UGUCCACGUGGGUCCCAAUCAUCAGCGUGAAUGGAGAACUUGCGAGUGUAGCUCUUGAAGCCAUACCACGGGCCCACCUAGUUGGCAAGCAGUUCCACGUGUCGUGGGGUUGAUCGACGACGUAUUAGUUUGACUAUUUAAAAGCGCAUCACUCUUCAGCACACUGCACGCCACCUUCCAUUCCACUUUUUUUUCCCGAUUUUUCUAUGAAAGCAAUCACACCUUCCAGUUCCACUAUGUUUUGGAGCUAGCUGUUCCCUUGCAUUCCUUCAUCCUGCCUCUUUCCAGCCUGCUUGAAUUUUACAAUUUUCCUGAUAGAACAUGAGGGGAGGCAUGCAAAUUAAGGCCCCGUUCGAAUCUGAUUAUAGGAUGAAAAUUAAGUGUGCACGUAACAAGAGAUAAAUCAUUAGCAUAUGGUUAAUAAAGUUUUAAUUAUUAAAAAUUGAAAAUGGAUUUAUUUGAUUUUUAUAGUAACUUUUAUAUAGAAAGUUUUCACAUGAAAUAUACCAUUUAGCAGUUUAAAAAACGUGCAAACAGAAAUCGAGGAAAAAUCUAGAUGUUGUUGGAGUUUAGAACGGGGAACUUGGCUAUGCACGAUCGAUGCAAGAAGUGAUGGUAUCAUAGACACGGGAAGCGUUGGGAAUUAAUUAGGUGGCCUUGUGGAGUAAGCAGUUUGGACACGAAUUGCCCUCUUUGUUUCUAAUCAUGCGGUGCGGUAAUGAGCGUGACAAAAUCUGCAGGUCCCAACCAUGUGUUACGAUAUAUCUUCAGUACGAGGGAGAUCAAUGUCAACAACAAAUGUAUAGAAAUAGUAACAGAAGAGAUCACAAGGGAGGACGGUAAGGUGCGAGUUGUGCAGGCCAUGACAUAUAAGAUCCACAUGCGUCUCAUACUAACUUAGCUCGCCAUGUCAGCUGAAACUAGGCACAAUAGUUAGCCCGUUAAAUCAGCUAAAACUAGGCAUAAUACUGCUCUCACACCUUGGUACUCUAGUAUUAUAAGACAAGAGACACUUAUAUUUGUUAUUAUGAUUAAGAACAUGAUUCAAACUCGAUCUCAAUAUAAGAGAUCUAAAGUGAACUUAUUCCUUUACUUUUAAGGAAGGAAAGCCUCUUUCCUUGUAAAUUGUUUUCUUUUGACUGUGCGGUUCACAAACUGAAUGGAAAUUGAAUUUUUUUUUUCAAAAAUAUUCUUUGCUAACAAAGUUCCUUAUAAAUUUUAUAGGAACUCUUUGAAUUUUCGGCAGGAUCCGUUCUCGACCCUAGUUCAUCGCUGGAUUCUACUUGAGCCGAGUUUCACAAUCAAAUCCCGCUCCCUGCGGCAGAUAUUCAAGAAAUUGAGGCCAACGCAGAAUAUAUAUGCAAUCUCGAAAGCACAGUAAAACCACAGAUAAUUCGCAAACCAAAGCAUGGCAUGUUCACAUAGUCCAACACAGCACAAUUAUUUGGUUUGGGUAUACUUAAUUACUCUGCAUCUGGCCUGAAUGAUUUUAUUCAUACAACCUGACAGGUUGACAACAUAUAUGCGUAAAUGGCUCACGCCGAUCCAAGGAAACGACCCAUCCAA